AGUCACCAGAACACCCAAAAUUGGUGAUUUGUUUACAUUUCACCACAAUUUUAAAGGGUCUAAUAUCGUAUUCCGUCUUGUCCGCCAUUUGCAGAAGCCUACAGGAAUUAUUAAUCUUCUAGGCCUCACUACGCCUAUACUACCGUCACCAUGAAGAGUGAGAAAAUAAAGCUAGCUCACUUCCUCGCACGGACCAGGAUGGAGAUCAAAUAGAGAGAGAGAGAGAGAGAGAGAGAGAAGGUGGAAAAAUCUCUUUCUACAAUUUUAAGACAUGUCCAAAACCAGACAUUAUGAUGCUGAUGGUUUCGUCUUACGGGCUGCCUGUGUGUGUGUCGACGCGGAAGAGAGAGAGGUAAGAGAGAGAGAGAAGAGAGAGAGAGGAG
Molecule: long non-coding RNA, 383 nt
Organism: Portunus trituberculatus (swimming crab)
Lineage: Eukaryota; Metazoa; Arthropoda; Malacostraca; Decapoda; Portunidae
Exons: 3
Source: RefSeq, a predicted model, not a curated record